AGAGUGAACGCUGGCGGCGUGCUUAACACAUGCAAGUCGAGCGAGGUUACAGCUGUAGCAAUACAGUAUGUGCCUAGCGGCAGACGGGUGAGUAACACGUAGGGAACCUUCCUCUUUGCGGGGGAUAGCUAGCCGAAAGGUUAGGUAAUACCGCGUACGAUUCUUUUUCGGCAUCGAGAGAGAAUGAAACAUCCGUAAGGAUGGCAGAGAGAGGGCCCUGCGGCCUAUCAGCUAGUUGGUGAGGUAACGGCUCACCAAGGCUACGACGGGUAACCGCCUGAAAGGCGAUCGGUCACACUGACACUGAGACACGGGUCAGACACCGUACGGGUGCAGCAGUGAGGAAUCGUAGGACAAGGUGGGGGACCAACCCGUAGACUCCGAGCGACGCCGCGGUGGGACGGACGAAGGUCUUCGGAUUGUAAACUCGUUUUGUACGGUAAUAAGAAUCUAGUAGAAACAUAGAGAGUAGAA
Molecule: ribosomal RNA, 474 nt
Filed under: uncultured soil bacterium
Lineage: Bacteria
Description: bacterial SSU rRNA
Rfam family: Bacterial small subunit ribosomal RNA
Source: RNAcentral